CUGGCUCAGAACGAACGCUGGCGGCGCGUCUUAAACAUGCAAGUCGUACGGGAACCUCAGUGCUUGCAUUGAGGGGAGAGUGGCGAACGGGUGAGUAACACGUGGAUAAUCUGCCUUCAGGUUGGGGAUAACCCCGGGAAACCGGAGCUAAUACCGAAUAAUAUGGUUUUUACACAGGUAAGAAUCAUUAAAGGUGGGGACCUUAGGGCCUACUGCCUGGAGAUGAGUCCGCGGCCCAUUAGCUUGUUGGUGGGGUAAUGGCCUACCAAGGCUACGAUGGGUAGCCGGCCUGAGAGGGUGGACGGCCACAUUGGGACUGAGAUACGGCCCAGACUCCUACGGGAGGCAGCAGUUAAGAAUCUUGCGCAAUGGGCGAAAGCCUGACGCAGCGACGCCGCGUGGACGAUGAAGGCCUUCGGGUUGUAAAGUCUGGUAAACAGGGAAGAAUAAGCAAAGGGUAAUAUUCUUUGUGAUGACGGUACCUGUCUAAAGCCCCGGCUAACUACGUGCCAGCAGCCGCGGUAAUACGUAUGGGGCAAGCGUUGUUCGGAAUUAUUGGGCGUAAAGGGCGUCUAGGCGGGGGAUUAAGUUGGAUGUGAAAGCCUUAGGCUCAACCUGAGAAUUGCAUCCAAAACUGGUUCUCUUGAGUUCGGGAGAGGAGAGCGGAAUUCCCGGUGUAGCGGUGAAAUGCGUAGAUAUCGGGAAGAACACCAGUGGCGAAGGCGGNUCUCUGGCCUAGGACUGACGCUGAAGCGCGAAAGCGUGGGGAGCGAACGGGAUUAGAUACCCCGGUAGUCCACGCCGUAAACGUUGUGUACUAGGUGUUAGUGGUUUAACCACUAGUGCCGACGCUAACGCAU
RNAcentral lists this ribosomal RNA (860 nucleotides) under uncultured organism. RNAcentral describes it as "bacterial SSU rRNA". It matches the Rfam family "Bacterial small subunit ribosomal RNA", at positions 19 to 860 of the family's 1533-position model. The record is from RNAcentral.